Long non-coding RNA from Amblyraja radiata (thorny skate), 478 nucleotides. RefSeq lists it as uncharacterized. NCBI's taxonomy places the organism in Eukaryota, Metazoa, Chordata, Chondrichthyes, Rajiformes, Rajidae. The transcript has 3 exons. The record is from RefSeq and is a predicted model, not a curated record.
GUAGGCUGGAGAGGUAAUGCUCCAUCACAUCCACCCGUUCACAGUGAUAGGUACGGAACGGCCCUGACCAUCACCCCUCCGCUCGCCCCUGGCCUCCAACACCAGCCACCCCAGGCAGCCUCGGAACUGCAGAGUGGUGGAAGCAUCUCCGACCGACUGUGAUACUAAACACAUCCACACUAAACCCAUCCAUACUAAACCCAUCCACACUAAACCCAUCCACACUAAGCCCAUCCACACUAAGCCCAUCCACACUAAGCCCAUCCACACUAAGCCCAUCCAUACUAAACCCAUCCACACUAAACCCAUCCACACUAAGCCCAUCCACACUAAGCCCAUCCAUACUAAACCCAUCCACACUAAACCCAUCCACACUAAGCCCAUCCACACUAAACCCAUCCAUACUAAACCCAUCCAUACUAAACCCAUCCAUACUAAACCCAUCCACACUAAACCCAUCCACACUAAACCCAUCCAU